UGGGGAAUAUUGCACAAUGGGCGCAAGCCUGAUGCAGCCAUGCCGCGUGUGUGAAGAAGGCCUUCGGGUUGUAAAGCACUUUCAGCGAGGAGGAAGGUGGUGAACUUAAUACGUUCAUCAAUUGACGUUACUCGCAGAAGAAGCACCGGCUAACUCCGUGCCAGCAGCCGCGGUAAUACGGAGGGUGCAAGCGUUAAUCGGAAUUACUGGGCGUAAAGCGCACGCAGGCGGUUUGUUAAGUCAGAUGUGAAAUCCCCGGGCUCAACCUGGGAACUGCAUUUGAAACUGGCAAGCUAGAGUCUCGUAGAGGGGGGUAGAAUUCCAGGUGUAGCGGUGAAAUGCGUAGAGAUCUGGAGGAAUACCGGUGGCGAAGGCGGCCCCCCUGGACGAAGACUGACGCUCAGGUGCGAAAAGCGUGGGGAGCAAAACAGGAUUAGAUACCCUGGUAGUCCACGCUGUAAAACGAUGUCGAUUUUGGAGGUUGUGCCCCUUGAGGCGUGGCUUCCGGAGCUAACGCGUUAAAAUCGACCGCCUGGGGAGUACGGCCGCAAGGUUAGAACUUAAAGGAAUUGACGGGGGUCAUAGCUG
Molecule: ribosomal RNA, 588 nt
Filed under: uncultured bacterium
Lineage: Bacteria
Description: partial 16S ribosomal RNA
Rfam family: Bacterial small subunit ribosomal RNA
Source: RNAcentral